RNAcentral lists this ribosomal RNA (427 nucleotides) under uncultured Cystobacterineae bacterium. Its description in RNAcentral is "bacterial SSU rRNA". It matches the Rfam family "Bacterial small subunit ribosomal RNA", at positions 107 to 523 of the family's 1533-position model. The record is from RNAcentral. Lineage: Bacteria; Pseudomonadati; Myxococcota; Myxococcia; Myxococcales.
UGCGUAACACGUGGGUAAUCUGCCUCGAGGUCCGGGAUAACCUUCCGAAAGGUUGGCUAAUACCGGUUAAGCUCACGGUGGCUCGGCCGCUGAGAGAAAAGGGGCCCGAAAGGGUCUCGCCACGAGAUGAGCCCGCGGCCCAUCAGCUAGUUGGCGGGGUAACGGCCCACCAAGGCUACGACGGGUAGCUGGUCUGAGAGGACGAUCAGCCACACUGGAACUGAGACACGGUCCAGACUCCUACGGGAGGCAGCAGUGGGGAAUUUUGCACAAUGGGCGAAAGCCUGAUGCAGCAACGCCGCGUGUGUGAUGAAGGUCUUCGGAUCGUAAAGCACUUUCGACCGGGACGAACAAGCAUGGCCACACCAUGCCCUGACGGUACCGGGAGAAGAAGCACCGGCUAACUCUGUGCCAGCAGCCGCGGUAA